This 1267-nucleotide ribosomal RNA is filed under the name Salmonella enterica subsp. enterica serovar Abony. RNAcentral's name for it is "partial 23S ribosomal RNA". It matches the Rfam family "Bacterial large subunit ribosomal RNA", at positions 911 to 2158 of the family's 2925-position model. The record is from RNAcentral. Lineage: Bacteria; Pseudomonadati; Pseudomonadota; Gammaproteobacteria; Enterobacterales; Enterobacteriaceae.
UGUUUCGGCUAGGGGGCCAUCCCGGCUUACCAACCCGAUGCAAACUGCGAAUACCGGAGAAUGUUAUCACGGGAGACACACGGCGGGUGCUAACGUCCGUCGUGAAGAGGGAAACAACCCAGACCGCCAGCUAAGGUCCCAAAGUCAUGGUUAAGUGGGAAACGAUGUGGGAAGGCCCAGACAGCCAGGAUGUUGGCUUAGAAGCAGCCAUCAUUUAAAGAAAGCGUAAUAGCUCACUGGUCGAGUCGGCCUGCGCGGAAGAUGUAACGGGGCUAAACCAUGCACCGAAGCUGCGGCAGCGACACUCAGGUGUUGUUGGGUAGGGGAGCGUUCUGUAAGCCUGUGAAGGUGUGUCGUGAGGCAUGCUGGAGGUAUCAGAAGUGCGAAUGCUGACAUAAGUAACGAUAAAGCGGGUGAAAAGCCCGCUCGCCGGAAGACCAAGGGUUCCUGUCCAACGUUAAUCGGGGCAGGGUGAGUCGACCCCUAAGGCGAGGCCGAAAGGCGUAGUCGAUGGGAAACGGGUUAAUAUUCCCGUACUUGGUGUUACUGCGAAGGGGGGACGGAGAAGGCUAUGUUGGCCGGGCGACGGUUGUCCCGGUUUAAGCGUGUAGGUGUGUGUUCCAGGUAAAUCCGGUUCACUUUAACACUGAGGCGUGACGACGAGGCACUACGGUGCUGAAGCAACAAAUGCCCUGCUUCCAGGAAAAGCCUCUAAGCAUCAGGUAACAUCAAAUCGUACCCCAAACCGACACAGGUGGUCAGGUAGAGAAUACCAAGGCGCUUGAGAGAACUCGGGUGAAGGAACUAGGCAAAAUGGUGCCGUAACUUCGGGAGAAGGCACGCUGACACGUAGGUGAAGUGAUUUACUCAUGGAGCUGAAGUCAGUCGAAGAUACCAGCUGGCUGCAACUGUUUAUUAAAAACACAGCACUGUGCAAACACGAAAGUGGACGUAUACGGUGUGACGCCUGCCCGGUGCCGGAAGGUUAAUUGAUGGGGUCAGCGCAAGCGAAGCUCCUGAUCGAAGCCCCGGUAAACGGCGGCCGUAACUAUAACGGUCCUAAGGUAGCGAAAUUCCUUGUCGGGUAAGUUCCGACCUGCACGAAUGGCGUAAUGAUGGCCAGGCUGUCUCCACCCGAGACUCAGUGAAAUUGAACUCGCUGUGAAGAUGCAGUGUACCCGCGGCAAGACGGAAAGACCCCGUGAACCUUUACUAUAGCUUGACACUGAACAUUGAGCCUUGAUGUGUAGGAUAGGUGGGAGGCUUU